RNAcentral lists this long non-coding RNA (545 nucleotides) under Homo sapiens (human). RNAcentral's name for it is "LY86 antisense RNA 1". Lineage: Eukaryota; Metazoa; Chordata; Mammalia; Primates; Hominidae. The record is from RNAcentral.
UAUCGCUCAUGGCCAAUGUCACACAGAAUUUUCAACCAGGAUGGGAACGCCCAGCAGCUGGAUGUCCAGCUGCCAAUUCAUCAAUUUGAGAAGAAGAGGAGGGAACACACAGAGACAGAGGAGAAGGCCCUAUGAAGAUGGAGGCAGAGACUGCAGUUAUGUUUCCACAGCCUGAGGAACGCCUGUGGCCACCAGCAGCUGGAGGAGGCAAGGAAGGAUUCUUAGAGCCUUCAGUGGAAGUAUGUAUGGGCCCACUGCACCUUGAUUUCUGACCUCUAGUCUCCAGGCCUGUAAGAGAAUAAAUUUCUGUUGUUUAAAGGCAUCACAUUUGCAUAAUUUGUUAUGGCAGUCCUAGAACAGUGAUACACAGGGUAGAUCCAAAGGUGCCAUCAAUAGGGAAUAUACACAGUUAUUUACAUGAAAUUGGCAUAUCAUCGCUGUGAAAGGAAAAUAAUUGGGGACCCCAAAUCACUAAGCCAAAGGGAAAAGUCAAGCUGGGAACUGGCAAACCUGCCUCCCAUUCUAUUCCUACGUAAGGUUGCUAC